This 253-nucleotide ribosomal RNA is filed under the name uncultured bacterium. RNAcentral describes it as "partial 16S ribosomal RNA". It matches the Rfam family "Bacterial small subunit ribosomal RNA", at positions 524 to 776 of the family's 1533-position model. The record is from RNAcentral.
UACGGAGGGUGCAAGCGUUAUCCGGAUUCACUGGGCUUAAAGGGUGCGUAGGAGGGCAGGUAAGUCAGUGGUGAAAUCUCCAAGCUUAACUUGGAAACUGCCGUUGAUACUAUCUGUCUUGAAUAUUGUGGAGGUGAGCGGAAUAUGUCAUGUAGCGGUGAAAUGCUUAGAUAUGACAUAGAACACCAAUUGCGAAGGCAGCUCGCUGCUCAAUUAUUGACGCUGAGGCACGAAAGCGUGGGGAUCAAACAGG